This 561-nucleotide ribosomal RNA is filed under the name uncultured bacterium. Its description in RNAcentral is "bacterial SSU rRNA". It matches the Rfam family "Bacterial small subunit ribosomal RNA", at positions 338 to 916 of the family's 1533-position model. The record is from RNAcentral.
CCUACGGGAGGCAGCAGUGGGGAAUAUUGGACAAUGGGCGAAAGCCUGAUCCAGCAAUGCCGCGUGAGUGAUGAAGGCCUUCGGGUCGUAAAGCUCUUUUACCAGGGAUGAUAAUGACAGUACCUGGAGAAUAAGCUCCGGCUAACUCCGUGCCAGCAGCCGCGGUAAUACGGAGGGAGCUAGCGUUGUUCGGAAUUACUGGGCGUAAAGAGUACGUAGGCGGUUAUUCAAGUCAGAGGUGAAAGCCCGGGGCUCAACCCCGGAACUGCCUUUGAAACUAGAUAGCUAGAGUCUUGGAGAGGUUAGUGGAAUUCCGAGUGUAGAGGUGAAAUUCGUAGAUAUUCGGAAGAACACCAGUGGCGAAGGCGACUAACUGGACAAGUACUGACGCUGAGGUACGAAAGCGUGGGGAGCAAACAGGAUUAGAUACCCUGGUAGUCCACGCCGUAAACGAUGAUAACUAGUUGUUCGGUCACUUGGUGACUGAGUGACGCAGCUAACGCAUUAAGUUAUCCGCCUGGGGAGUACGGUCGCAAGAUUAAAACUCAAAUGAAUUGACGG